UUUUAACACAUGACCCCGUCGAACGAGAAAGGGACUUCGGUCCUGAGUACUGUGGCGCACGGGUGAGUAACACGUGGAUAAUCUGCCUGAUGGACAGGGAUAACAUCUCGAAAGAGGUGCUAAUACCAGAUAAGCCCACAGCAUCUACGGAUGCAGCGGGAAAAGGGGGCCUCUUCAUGAAAGCUUCCACCAACAGAUGAGUCCGCGGUCCAUUAGCUAGUUGGUAGGGUAAUGGCCUACCAAGGCCACGAUGGAUAGCUGGUUUGAGAGAAUGAUCAGCCACACUGGAACUGAGACACGGUCCAGACUCCUACGGGAGGCAGCAGUGGGGAAUAUUGCGCAAUGGGGGCAACCCUGACGCAGCAACGCCGCGUGAGUGAUGAAGGUUUUCGGAUCGUAAAGCUCUGUCAAGAGGGAAGAAACCCCGAUAGGCUAAUACCUUGUCGGAUUGACGGUACCUCUAAAGGAAGCACCGGCUAACUCCGUGCCAGCAGCCGCGGUAAUACGGAGGGUGCGAGCGUUGUUCGGAAUUAUUGGGCGUAAAGCGCGUGCAGGCGGUUGUUUAAGUCUGAUGUGAAAGCCCCGGGCUCAACCUGGGAAGUGCAUUGGAAACUGGGCA
RNAcentral lists this ribosomal RNA (619 nucleotides) under uncultured bacterium. RNAcentral's name for it is "bacterial SSU rRNA". It matches the Rfam family "Bacterial small subunit ribosomal RNA", at positions 46 to 639 of the family's 1533-position model. The record is from RNAcentral.